AUUUCAUGUCACUAGCAAUUUAUAUACGUAUACGUACAUAUCGCAGUUGGUCUCGAGCUGUAUUUAUAACGAAUAAAUAUUAUUCUUGCGAAAAAGUAUUUUUCUUUUUUCUUUUUGUUUGUGAAAAGUGGAAAAAACAUUUUAAGAGUAAAAAAACGUUUGAAAAGAAUUUUGCAUCAUAAUUUACAAUUUCAUCAUUUUAUCGUUAUACAUAUUUUACACAUUUCUCUAAUAACUAGUGCGAUAACUAGUUCGCGAUUGGUUCCCAGUCACUAAGAGUUAAAAAUAACCAUAUAUUUUUUAUGCGAAGGAAAAAAAAAAAAAGAUACGAGGUCCACUGGAUUGUUACAUGCCGGAAAAUUCUUGUCUGCCUCUGUUACCAUGGUACUUGUCAGUUACGAACCAUCGACCGAAAUUAUUCACGAUUCUUUUUCAAUGACGUAACUUGAACUUGUCCAAGGUUAAAAUAAAUCAUCGCUGAUUAUCGUGUGGAA
Long non-coding RNA from Apis mellifera (honey bee), 494 nucleotides. RefSeq lists it as uncharacterized. Lineage: Eukaryota; Metazoa; Arthropoda; Insecta; Hymenoptera; Apidae. The transcript has 3 exons. The record is from RefSeq and is a predicted model, not a curated record.